Molecule: ribosomal RNA, 421 nt
Filed under: uncultured bacterium
Lineage: Bacteria
Description: bacterial SSU rRNA
Rfam family: Bacterial small subunit ribosomal RNA
Source: RNAcentral
UAAGGAAUAUUGGUCAAUGGACGCAAGUCUGAACCAGCCAUGCCGCGUGAAGGAUGAAGGUCCUCUGGAUUGUAAACUUCUUUUAUCUGGGACGAAAACGGGAUUUUUAUCUCAAUUGACGGUACCAGAGGAAUAAGCACCGACUAACUCCGUGCCAGCAGCCGCGGUAAUACGGAGGGUGGGAGCGUUAUCCGGAUUUACUGGGUUUAAAGGGUGCGUAGGUGGGCUUAUAAGUCAGUGGUGAAAUCUCCGAGCUUAACUUGGAAACUGCCGUUGAUACUAUAGGUCUUGAAUUAUCUGGAGGUAAGCGGAAUAUGUCAUGUAGCGGUGAAAUGCUUAGAUAUGACAUAGAACACCAAUUGCGAAGGCAGCUUACUACAUAUAAAUUGACGCUGAGGCACGAAAGCGUGGGGAUCAAACA